Molecule: ribosomal RNA, 460 nt
Filed under: uncultured bacterium
Lineage: Bacteria
Description: partial 16S ribosomal RNA
Rfam family: Bacterial small subunit ribosomal RNA
Source: RNAcentral
CCUACGGGUGGCUGCAGUGAGGAAUAUUGGUCAAUGGACGAGAGUCUGAACCAGCCAAGUCGCGUGAAGGAUGACUGCCCUAUGGGUUGUAAACUUCUUUUAUAUGGGAAUAAAGUGUUCCACGUGUGGGAUUUUGUAUGUACCAUAUGAAUAAGGAUCGGCUAACUCCGUGCCAGCAGCCGCGGUAAUACGGAGGAUCCGAGCGUUAUCCGGAUUUCUUGGGUUUAAAGGGAGCGUAGGUGGAUUGUUAAGUCAGUUGUUAAAGUUUGCGGCUCAACCGUCAAAUUGCAGUUGAAACUGGCAGUAUGGAGUACAGUAGAGGUGGGCGGAAUGCGCGGUGUAGCGGGGAAAUGCUUAGAUAUCACGAAGAACUCCGAUUGCGAAGGCAGUUCACUGGACUGAAACUGACACUGAGGCUCGAAAGUGUGGGUAUCAAACAGGAUUAGAUACCCGAGUAGUC